Molecule: unclassified non-coding RNA, 217 nt
Filed under: plant metagenome
Description: partial contains small subunit ribosomal RNA and internal transcribed spacer 1
Rfam family: Eukaryotic small subunit ribosomal RNA (bases 1-46)
Source: RNAcentral
AAGUUGUAACAAGGUUUCUGUAGGUGAACCUGCAGAAGGAUUAUUACUACAACAAUUAGGCGUUGCAAAAAUCCUCGCUUGCGGGGUCACGCUAUUAAUUACCCUUUGCCUACUAUACUGCUUAUUAUUUCCUUAGCAGGCUUGCCUGCCACUAGGAAUCAUUCAAACCCUUGUAUACAAGUAUCAAAACCUCUAAUAACAACCUAAUUAUUUACAA